AUCGAGGAAGUAUAUAGAAAGUAUGGGAAUUGUUUUUGCCUCUUUCUAAGUCCAUUAUAGUGAAUUGAUUAUUCAAUGCUGAGAGUAAAUAACAAACCUUUAAAACAAAGUCUUUGCUAGAUUUUUUUAUAAAAAAUAUUAAAUUAAUAACAACACACCAAUGACUAAUAAACUAUUACUACGUAAUUACAGUGCAGUAAUUACGUUUAAAUAUUUUUUGAUUAGAACUACAAAUAGAUUAAACAGAGCAAUUGUUAUGAUUAUGAUGUAUUAGAUAUAAACACGCGCAUCGCUUUCUAAUCUUUCUAUUUGCAACGCAUCAUACAUCAUUCAAAUAUAACAAAAACAAUUAACAAACUUAUUUCUCUCAAAAAACACGGAAGAUUUGUAUGUUAUUAUGAUAUGUAUGUAAAGGAAAUAAUGGUUACAUGUUGAGACGAUAGGUGGCGCUGACGAUAGUGUCGGUGGAGACGGGAGACGUCAUGAUUUUUUAUUUGUCAAAGAAUUGAAUUUAAUUUAUUUUGUUAUAAACUAAUUAGUGGAAUAAGAGCGACAAUAUAACUUUAAAUGUCGUUUCUUUCAUUUACAGAGCAACGCAUGGUUUAAUUUGUCGUAAAUUCCAUAAAAAUAGAAUAAUUGUCUUAUAAAACGACAUUUUUAGUGAAGAAUAAUGGAAAAAUUACGAUUCACCUUCACAAUAUUAGGAGGAUCUGAUGGAAAAACUAAUUUAAUUUGCAUAACGUCAAUCGAAACUCCAGAUGGACGAUUAUUUGAUAUACCGGAUGAUUUGAAGCCUGUAAGUAAACACAUAGCCAUAACUGCUACAAAACCAUUGGAAAUUGUCUCAAUAGACACAAUUGGGGGAUUCGGAGGUUCUAGGUCAACUAAGAAAUAUCUGCACCUCUUAGUCGAUCAUUUUACUCGAUACGCUUAUAUAGUAAAUUCAAAGACACAGAGUGCUAAAGACUUCAUAAAACUUUUAAAUAAUGUACCGAAUUGUCAUGAAAUUGGUAUAGUACUCACUGAUCAGUACCCCGGGAUAAAUUCACAAGAAUUUAAAACAUUUUUACAAAAAAAAUCUAUCACACUAAUUUUCACUGCAGUAAACUCACCUUUUUCCAAUGGACUCAACGAGAGGCUUAACCAAACACUGGUAAAUAAAAUAAGAUGCAAGCUAAAUGAAAAACCAAAUACUACAGCAUGGACGAGUAUUGCUCAUAAUUGUGUAGACAAAUAUAACAAUACAGAACAUUCAAUAACAGGUUUUGCACCAAGAUACCUAAUGGAUGGCACCGAUGUCUCACUAAUACCCAAUGAACUAAAACUGGAAAAACAAACAAGUGACUGGAUGAGAGAUAGAAAAACUGCAAUAGAGAGAUCAAUAAAAUCACAUGAGUACAAUAAAACAAUAGUAAAUAAGAAGAGAAUAAAAUAUAAUUUCGAAGUAGGUGAUAUGGUAUAUGUUGAAAAUGGACACAAAUUAAAUAGAAGAAAAUUGGAUGAGUUAAGGAUUGGUCCAUUUAAAAUAGAAGAAAAAGUAUCACAAUCAAUAUACAAGAUUAAUACAGGCCACAAGAAGAAGGAAUCAAAUCUGUUUCAUAUUACUAAACUGACUCCUGUGCCCAUACCAGAAUAAAUAAAGGGAUAUUGGAAAAGUGAAAAUUUCCAGAGGAAUUUUCAAUUUAAGGGGGGGAGAUGUAAAGGAAAUAAUGGUUACAUGUUGAGACGAUAGGUGGCGCUGACGAUAGUGUCGGUGGAGACGGGAGACGUCAUGAUUUUUUAUUUGUCAAAGAAUUGAAUUUAAUUUAUUUUGUUAUAAACUAAUUAGUGGAAUAAGAGCGACAAUAUAACUUUAAAUGUCGUUUCUUUCAUUUACAGAGCAACGCAUGGUUUAAUUUGUCGUAAAUUCCAUAAAAAUAGAAUAAUUGUCUUAUAUGUAUAGUUAUGUAUAAUUUAUUAACUGCAUAUAAUAAAUAAAUAAAUUAUGUGACAUUUCAUAAACAUAAUUUUAACAAAUUUAUUUCCUGAAGAGUUAUGGCAUUGGUCUUUUGUUUUGGGUGCAUAUUAAAUGCAACAACAAAUUGUUUAUCGGUUAUUUUAUGAUCCUCAAGUAAUAGGGCGACGACUCUAUUAAUAAACAUGGGGGAGUCCCUUGCCCAUUUCCUCUGGGAGCAAACAUACUGAUAAGUAAUAAUUUUCCUUCUGUGGCAUUAUGCCUAUCAUUGGCUGUCUCUGUACCAACCGAAGGCAGACUGGGCGAAAAUACCUAUUUACAUACAUAAAUGGAAGUAAAUAACGAACUCAACACAAGUAUCUUCGGAUUACUUUUUGGGAAGCCGCGGCAACUUAUUGUACUAACUUUUGUCAAUAAACGCAUUUUAUUAUUAUUAUUUUUUUCUAAUAAAUAAUUUCAAUAACGUAAUUGACUUUUGACUGCACGGUGGGCGCGGUGACUAGGCAACCGGGUGUUGUUGUUUCGGGUCUGGGUGUCAUGUGUAUGUUUGUGUACGUACCCACGACACAGGAGAAAAUCCUAGUGAAAAAAUAUAU
Molecule: RNA transcript, 2550 nt
Organism: Spodoptera frugiperda (fall armyworm)
Lineage: Eukaryota; Metazoa; Arthropoda; Insecta; Lepidoptera; Noctuidae
Exons: 3
Source: RefSeq, a predicted model, not a curated record